UCCUCGGUAGCUCAGUGGUAGAGCGGUCGACUGUUAAUCGAUUGGUCGCAAGUUCGAAUCUUGCCCGGGGAG
This 72-nucleotide transfer RNA is filed under the name Synechococcaceae cyanobacterium RM1_1_27. Its description in RNAcentral is "tRNA-Asn". It matches the Rfam family "tRNA". From Rfam's summary of the family: Transfer RNA (tRNA) molecules are approximately 80 nucleotides in length. Their secondary structure includes four short double-helical elements and three loops (D, anti-codon, and T loops). The record is from RNAcentral. Lineage: Bacteria; Bacillati; Cyanobacteriota; Cyanophyceae; Synechococcales; Synechococcaceae. RNAcentral also lists the same sequence under 2 other names.